RNAcentral lists this ribosomal RNA (329 nucleotides) under uncultured eukaryote. Its description in RNAcentral is "partial 18S ribosomal RNA". It matches the Rfam family "Eukaryotic small subunit ribosomal RNA", at positions 1470 to 1796 of the family's 1831-position model. The record is from RNAcentral.
CCCUUAGAUGUCCUGGGCCGCACGCGCGCUACACUGAGUGUCUGAGAUACGAGUCUGCCUGGUCCGGCAAGGUCUAGGUAAUCGCUAAAAGACACAUCAUGCUUGGGAUAGAUUAUUGCAAAUAUUAAUCUUGAACGAGGAAUUCCUAGUAAGCGCAAGUCAACAGCUUGCGUUGAUUACGUCCCUGCCCUUUGUACACACCGCCCGUCGCUACUACUGAUUGGAUGUUUAAGCGAGGUUCUCGAACUGCUAGCGUCUUAGCUUCGGUGAGGUCGCAGUGUGGGAAGUGAACCUAGCUUUGGUGUCUAGAGGAAGUAAAAGUCGUAACA